RNAcentral lists this ribosomal RNA (481 nucleotides) under uncultured bacterium. Its description in RNAcentral is "partial 16S ribosomal RNA". It matches the Rfam family "Bacterial small subunit ribosomal RNA", at positions 30 to 506 of the family's 1533-position model. The record is from RNAcentral.
AUUGAACGCUGGCGGCAUGCCUUACACAUGCAAGUCGAACGGUAACAGGUCUUCGGAUGCUGACGAGUGGCGAACGGGUGAGUAAUACAUCGGAACGUGCCCGAUCGUGGGGGAUAACGAGGCGAAAGCUUUGCUAAUACCGCAUACGAUCUACGGAUGAAAGCGGGGGAUCUUCGGACCUCGCGCGGACGGAGCGGCCGAUGGCAGAUUAGGUAGUUGGUGGGAUAAAAGCUUACCAAGCCGACGAUCUGUAGCUGGUCUGAGAGGAUGAUCAGCCACACUGGGACUGAGAAACGGCCCAGACUCCUACGGGAGGAAGCAGUGGGGAAUUUUGGAAAAAGGGCGAAAGCCUGAUCCAGCCAAGCCGCGUGCAGGAUGAAGGCCUUCGGGUUGUAAACUGCUUUUGUACGGAACGAAAAGCCUCUUUCUAAUAAAGAGGGGUCAUGACGGUACCGUAAGAAUAAGCACCGGCUAACUACGU